GAGGGAAUAUUGGUUAAUGUGCGAAAGCGCGAACCAGCAACGCCGCGUGUACGAAGAAGGCCUUCGGGUUGUAAAGUACUUUUCACCGGGAAGAGGAAGGACGGUACCGGUGGAAUAAGUCUCGGCUAACUACGUGCCAGCAGCCGCGGUAACACGUAGGAGACGAGCGUUAUCCGGAUUUACUGGGUGUAAAGCGCGUGCAGGCGGUCUGUUAAGUUGGAUGUGAAAGCUCCCGGCUAAACUGGGAGAGGUCGUUCAAAACUGGCAGGCUAGAGUGUGGUAGAGGGGAGUGGAAUUCCGAGUGUAGCGGUAAAAUGCAUAGAUAUUCGGAAGAACACCAGUGGCGUAGGCGACUUCCUGGACCACAACUGACGCUCAGAAGCGAAAGACAGGGUAGCAAACGG
RNAcentral lists this ribosomal RNA (404 nucleotides) under uncultured bacterium. Its description in RNAcentral is "bacterial SSU rRNA". It matches the Rfam family "Bacterial small subunit ribosomal RNA", at positions 355 to 775 of the family's 1533-position model. The record is from RNAcentral.